UGGGGUUUUGUCUUUUUUUGUUUUUAUUGUACUUCCAAAAAAAAAGUAGGCCAAUUUGCAUACAAAAUUUACAAAUUUUGAGUUUUUGUAAAACUCGGCCGUCUUUUUCGAUUUUGCAAAUUGGGUUCGAAUUUUUACUAAACUGACCAAAAUAUUUUUAUACAUUUUUCUCUCUUCUUUGUUUUUUAUCGCGUUCUUUUUUGUUUCUUGCCGAAAAAAGCGACAGAGACGAAGGCGGAAACGGUCCCCACCAUCUCUGCACCUCACACUCUCACCCUCGCCCGCACACCCCUCGCCCUACUCUUCUCCGACCCCACCAAAGCAGUGCUGCGACCUUUUUUUUUUUUUCUUUCUGACCCUCCUCUACUGCCUCCAUGAUCCUCCGAAACGAUAAAGAGAAUGGCACCACGUUUUCUUCCUCCGACUACGCCCUCCGCCUUCAUUUUAAAGGGUGCAUACGUUUUACCUUUUGUUCUCUAGUGUUUUGAAUUUAGUUCCAAACUGCAUUAGUGGUACACGAAGGUACACGUAUCCACGUGUCAUUGCUUUUGUAGGAUCUGACUCGUUGAUGUCCUUGUCGUAGAACUAUUAUAAUAUGUAAUUAUAAAUGGAGUAAAAUAUAUAUAAUUAUAAGGAAUAAUUUCAUAGAUGCCCCUCUAGAAACUAUUAAUUUCAUCAAUACCCUUCCAAAAUUAAUAAUAUCACAAAUACCCUCCAAAAUGUGAAAAAUUAUCAUAAAUACCCUCCUCUAGUUAAGAUUCAUUAAAGCCCAUUUGAAUCGGAGUUAAAUUUUUAAAAUACCAUUUUUACCCUUUAUCUCUUUUUAAUAGUAGAAAUACUAAUAGGUAUUUCAAAAUAAUUUUUGUAAAUCUAAAUUUGAGUAUUUAAUAUAUAAAUAGUUAAUUAAAUUAUUAAUAUAUAUUAAUUAAUAAAAAAUAUAUAAAAAUUGUAUUUUAAAUAUAGUAUGUUUUUAUCUGAUUUUGGUUUUGUUUUUGGUUUUGGGUUUCGGUUCAGAUUCGGUUUAAAUAUAGACCAAAACUAUAUAACUGAAUUUACAUACGACGGGAUUUUAUUUUUUGGUAUCUAUAACUAAAACUAUCCCCUAUUCAGCAUUGAUUAAACUUAUCCCAUUUUAAAUCGAGUUUAGAUAAAAUUCCGUAUCUAUAUCAAUUCACAUUCCUAAUUAGUAAUAGUAAUUUUGAAAUAAAUUAUAGAUUUUAUUUUUUUCCUAUUUAAAAAUAAAUCACAUAAUUGUUUUGUCGAUUGAAAUAAAAAGAGAGUUUUGUUCAAAAGCUAAAAUAUAUUAUAUUUCAGUUUUUUAAUACACUUAAUGCAGAUAAAAUUAUCGAGAAUAAUUUUGAUUAAAAAAAUUUUUAAGUUUUCAAGAUUAAAGAAAGAUCGGAUAAUUCCUUAACAUUAUUUUCAUUUAAAUUUUAUAUAUAGUUAUUUAUUUGAUAAAAAAUAAAUAGAGCCAUUAGAUUUGGUAAAAUCAUCAAAAAAAACUAAAAAAUUCUUUUUUUUUUAUACACUGAAAUUAGGUUUUUUUUAUAAAUAAAAAGUUAAUGGGGUAUCAACUAAAAAAUGAAAGUUGAGGGAGCUGUUUCAAAAUGCAUAUAGUUGAGGGGGUUUCCACACAUUUUUAGUUAAAAGAUAUUUGAGGGUAAAUAAGUCAUUUUAAAAAUUAACCCAUCUUUAACCAUGUAAUAACUAUAGUAAAACUAACCUAACUAACAGUAGGGGUAUUAAUGAUAAUUUUUUGUGUUUAUAGGGGUAUUGGUGAUAUUUUAAACUUUAUAGGGGCAUCUAUGAUAUUUUAAACUUUGGGAGGGGUAUCCAUGAAAUUGCCCCUAAUUAUAAUUAGGAUAAAUUUUAAAUAUUAUUUAUGUCAUUUCGUAUUUUUUUCGCUUUAGUACUUUAUGUUUCAAAAUGUAUCAAUUCAGUAUCUUUGAUUAUUUGUCUUUUCGUCGUCCCCUCCGGUAACGUUUCAUUAAAUCAUAUACAAAAAAUUUUAGAUAUUCCAUCUAUAGUUUAUCAAAUAUUUACUUUAAUACUUUUUAAUUUUAACUUUCUCACUGAUUUAAUAAAAAAAAUUAAUAAAGGGUAUAACAAAAAAAAAAAAAUUAUAGAAUAUGAAAAUGAUAUACUUUAAACCACACGAUAUUAAAAUAAAAAAGUACGAAAUUACAGAAAUGAUAUUUUAAUUUUUUUUUAUAAUUAUUAUAUAUCUCAUUUAGUUGAAUAUAGUAAAAAAUAGAGUAACUAUCAAUAUGGUUUGGCUUUGUACAUUUAAUAAGUGCAUUUACAAAAAUGAGGCUUCAAGACAAUUGCCCAAUUUUGUGCACAAGUUUAAAAGGAAAAAACUAUUUACUAUCAAUAAAACAAAUUCUAAUGGUAAAUGUUUAUAACAAAAGUGGCUUGAGCAUAAUUUUCGCCAUGCCCAAGGGGCCGUUUGUUUCUACAUAAAACUGUAAAAAAAAAUUUAGUAGAAAAAAAAAUUUUAGAGAACAAUAAAUUUUACCUGUUUUAGUGUUUAGUUUAUAGAAGAAGAAAAAUUACUCUUUAUCACGAUUGUUUGGUUGAGGAAAAAAAGAAUAUAAAUAGAAAACUAUUAUAUAUAUAUAUAUAUAUAGUCCGGUUACUAUAUUUUUAUGAGUAAUAGAGCAUAUUGUACUCAUAAAUUUUUUACCGUUAGAUCUGCCCUUUAAUCAUUUUCACCCGUUAGAUUAUACUAUUCAACCAACCACCCACUCAACCCUAGGGGACCCACUAUGNUCUCUCUCUCUCUCUCUCUCUAUAUAUAUAUAUAUAUAUAUAUAUGAAUCAGGCUGGGAUACUAUCAAUAGGACCAAGCGUUUAGUGCUAUCAAGUUUUUCACUGUUAGAUUUAACUCUUUGACUAUUUUUAUCUGUUAGAUUAUACUAUUAAACCGAUAACUUAUUCAACCCUAGGAGGCCCACAUUAUUUUAACCGUAUAUUUUUUCAUCCAAGGACCGAAAAUCUAAUAGCACCAAUAGUUUGGUGCUAUUGAUAAUAUUCCAGCCUAGUUCUAUAUGCACACACAGGUCUUGUGUGCUAUUAGGAGCACGGAUCCAUCCGUGUUCCUAAGUCGUUUUUGAUUAUGGAGUUUUUGAAUCGACGAUCACCUCCAUUAGACUUAAUCUAGCCUAUUUGAAAUAUCUAGAAAAUAAAUUUUGUGAUUUUUCGAUAUCAUUUACCUAGCGACAAAAGGAUUCAAAAUAAAUAAUUUUUAAUAGUUGAUGUAUACCAUUUGCUAGUUUAACGGUGUAGAAAUAUUCAAAUCAGAUAAAUUUUAAUAGAAAAUUCUUUAUACUAUUUACUAUAAAAUCAACAUCUCUGAUCGAAAAUUUUAACGAUAUAUCACCAAUUUUUUUGAGAUUUUUAUUUUCAGCCAUUGAUUUUGAACCCUUUCAAUCGCUAGGUAAAUGAUAUCAAAAAAUCGCAAAAUUUAUUUUCUAGAUACUUCAAAUAUGCUAGAUCAAAUCCAACGGAGUCGAUCGUCGAUUCGGAAGCUCAAUGAUCGAAAAUGGCUUAGGAAGACGGAGACCUCCGUACUCCUAAUAGCACACAAGACCUACUCUAUAUAUAUAUAUAUAUGAGUCCAGCUAUGGUGCUUUUCAAAAGCACCAAGCAGUUGGUGCUUAUAAAUUUUUCACCGUUAGAUCUACCCCUUUGACCAUUUUCACAUGUUAAAUCAUACUAUUCAACCAACCCACCUACUCAAUUCUAAAGGACCACAAUCAUUCUAACCGAAGACCGCUAUCAUUCUAACCACACAUCCUUUCAUCCAACGGUUGAAAAUUUAUGUAUACAGAGGUGUGUAUACUCAUAAGAGUAUAGUAAACCAACUCUAUAUUAUGAGAGAGACAGAGAGAGAGAGAGAGAGGAUCACCGUGGACCUCAUGAACCGCAUGCUACAGCUCUCAAUGCCGCUUGUUUUCAGUCUUUGUUUUUGUUUUCCUUCAAUUUUCUUUAGAAUUUGUAAAAAAAAUAGUUCGAAAAAAUAUUUUUACGAGCAACUAAACAUCGAAAAAUACCUUUCAACUGAAAAAUAAUUUUUCGAAUAAUUUUAUAAGAAACCAAACACACUCUAAAAGUAAACUAACCAUAACACUAAAAAAAAAAAGAAGCAUUAUCUCUAAUCCAGUGUGCCUUAUUUUUGUGCGCAUGAUGCGAUUCCAUAGCCUAUCCAACAGCGCCUUAAAUAUAUAUCAGAUGCUAAUAUGCCGCAUAAUAAAUAAAUAGCCAAAUUUAUAGACCUUAUCGGAAUUAUAAGUCAUUUUAAUUCGAGUACCUAAUAUUUCAAAAUUUUUAUUUUAGUAUACAAUUUUCAAUUUGUUUAAUUUAAGCUAUUUGGUAGUUCUUCUAAUACAAAAUUUAAACUAUUUACUUAUUUUAAUAUUUUUUAAGUAUAUGAAUUGCAUUUAAUUUGUUAAUUAAGACUGUAAAGAUAAAUAACGCAUUUAACUUUAGAGGUUCAAGAGUCAUAAACUGACUCAAAUCAAAUAAACCAAAAGAUUAGCUAUCAAAAUUAAAACUUUAAAAAUUAUAAUCAAAUCAAAACGAACAAUAGUUGAGAUAUAUUGUACAUAUUUUUACCUAUAAAAUUAAGGAGCCAUUCUCAAGAAUGGUUAAUUGUUAAUCACAUGUCAUCAUAUCAUUUACUCUUUAAUGGUAAUAUAUAAAGUAAUGAGUAAAUUGCAAACAUGGUCCUCAAACUAUGAAGAAUUUGUUAUAAUUUUUAGCUCAAAGUUUUAUAAUUACUAUAAUCAAAUCAUUCAAUCUAAUUUAGACGACCAAAUAUUAAUACAUCGCUAUUUCUCGAAAAAAAAUAUUAAUACAUCGCUAACAUUAAAGUGAUGUGGUAUCUUAAAUUUUAGCGUAUCAUUAAUCACAACUAUUGUAUAACUUCUAUAUUAGUGAUAUAUUACUAUUUAGUCAACUAAAUUAGGUUAUACUACUUAAAUGUAAUAAUUCUGAUGAUUUAAAUUAUAAAAUUAUAAUAAAUUAAAAUUUAAAAAAUUAUAAUAUCACCUAUCUCGAGGACCAAAUGUGCAAUUUUACCCCUAAGUAAUCUUGUACACCCACUGUCAUAUUCACAUAUGUUGGCAACAGUACCUUAAUCCAACGCGUUGCUCGAAACGUCGCAUUCACUACUCAUCAUACGACAAAUUAAAUGGUAGUACUAAGUUUACUAUCAAUUUUUACACUAUUUCAUAAGCUAAUGUUUUAAAAAUUGAGUUGAAUCUAUCGAUUCGAUCGGCUCGAUCAUGAUCUAGUCUAUAUAAAUGUUUAGCUCAAUUCUUUUGAACCGAAUAAAUAUAUUUGGUAAAUGGAUACGUUCGAUAAACCGCGGGUGGGUUAUUAUACUCGCAGCUUAUAUGCACAUAGAUAAACACUAUUAAAAAAUUAGUCAUUAGUGGCAUUUAUUUACGCUCCUAAAAGGUCAACAAAUUUCGUUACAAGUUUAGCAGCGUAUGUCACCAAAUGCUGUCCAUACCAAUAUUGCUAAAAGUAUAUAUAUAAAUGCCAGUUUUAAAUUAUUUACUACUGACACAUAAAUAUAAUGCAAAUAAUACAAAUAUCUUAUUUUGGGAAUCCAAAUUUUAAAAUUUUCAUUUUAUUUUAGAUUUAAUUUUUAAAUUUAAAUCUAUAUUUGAAUUUUUUUGAGAGAAAUAUAGUAUGCUCCCCGUUUCGUUUGUUUCUUUUAAAAAUAAACUUAGCUAGAAAUGUUAAUCAAAUAGGAUUCGAACUUGAAACAUCAAAUACCAACCACCAAAUCCUUUGCUACUUGUGUUAGAAACUAUCAGUUAUAUAUAUUUACAUUUUUAAAAUUUUAAGUUUUCAAUUUUAAAAUUUUAAUUUUUAAAUUCUAAAUUUAUGUAUUAAAUUUAAAUUUUUAAUUUUAAAAUAUCAAAUUUUAAGUUUCAAAAUUUACAGUUUUAAAUUUAAAAUUUUAAUUUUAAAAUAAAGUUAAAAAUUAAAAAUUAAAAAUUUAGAAUUUAAAAUAUAAAAUUUUAAAAUUUUAAAUUUUAAAUUAUAACUUUAAUUUUUUUAAUUAUAAAAUUUGAAUUUUUAAACUUAAAUUUUAAAAUUUUUAAUUCUUAGUAAAAAUGGUAUAAAUUAAUAAUUAUAUAUUGACUAGUGACGAUAUUUAGCAAUAAGUGCUGCUACGUUAUUACAUUUAGCGGCGUUCACUAAUUUACGCUGCUAAUUUAUUUUAUUUUACAAUAUUAAUAACAAAUUGCUGCUAAAUUAUUAAAUCUAGCCGCAAUUUUCAAGUAAUACUGUUAAGUAUAUUAUUUAACAUGAUUUAAAUAAAUAUUGUGAAAUAAAUGUCGCGGUAUUUAGCAAUAAGCGUUGUUGUUUUGUUAUAUUUAGUGUCAUUUUUUUUUAAAUCCUGAAAUUUUCAGCGGCAUUCACUAAUUUAUACUGCUAAUUUAUCUUAUUUUGCAACAUUAAUAGUAAAUUGCCGCUAAAUUAUUAAAUUUAGCUGCAAUUAUCCAGCAAUACUGUUAAAUAUAUUAAUUAGCAUGAUUUAAAUAAAUACUACGAAGUAAAUGUCGCUAAAUCAUGAAUUUAUUAUAAUGAAAAUUUAUCCGUAAAUUUUUGGAUAGUCAAUAUUUUUACCCAUACCAGCCCCGAGUAGACAGGCGAGUAUGCAGUUUGCCCGCAAAAUAUUUUUUUUCCCUUUUGCUCCUGUACUUUUCAAAAGCAAAACAUAUAACAUAAUUUUUUAAAAAUCAUAACAUAACUUUUGUUUGAAAUAUCACAACAUAUAAUAAACAGUUUUAAAAUGUAUAAAUUAUAUAAUAAAAAAAUAUUUUAUAAUUUCAAAAUUUUGUGUUACAAAAUUAAUAUAGUUUUCAUUUAUGAAGACCGUAAAUGAGCACUCCCUGGUCCAAUAUAGGCUGAGCCACCAGAGAAUGGUAGAGCGGUGCGGCUGGAGAGGCGGGGCGGGAGGUGACUACAACAAAUAUAUAUAUAUAUAUAUAUAUAGAGAGAGAGAGAGAGAGAGAGAGAGAGAGAGAGAGUAGGGCUACUGUGCUCUAAGGAGCACGGAAGCCUCCAUGCUUCUGAGCCGUUUUCGAUGAUAGAAUUUGCGAAUGGACGAUCGGCUCCGUUAGACUUGAUCUAACGUAUUUGAAGUUUCUAGAAAAUAAUUUUUGUAAUUUUUUGAUACCAUUUACCUAGCAAUCGAAAGGAUUCAAAAUCAAUAAUUUUUAACGGUUGAAAAUAAAAAUUCUAUAAAAUGUGUGAUAUAGCACUAAAAUUUUCAAUCAGAAAUAUUGAUCUUAUUGUAGAUAGUAUCAAGAAUUUUGUAUCAAAAUUUCAUCUGAUUUGAAUACUUCUACACCGUUAAACUUGAAAACGGUAGAUAUCAACCAUUAAAAAUUAUUGAUUUUGAAUCCUUUCGAUCUAAUGAUAUCAAAAAAUUGCAAAAAUUAUUUUCUAGAAACUUCAAAUACGCUAGAACAAGUCUAACGGAGCCGAUCGUCGAUUCGAAAAUUCCAUCAUCGAAAAUGGCUCAGGAGCAUGGAGGCCUCCGUGCUCCUGAGAGCACCGCAGCCCUACUCUAUAUAUAUAUAUAUAUAUAUAUAUAUAUAUAUAUAUAUAGAGAGAGAGAGAGUCCGACUACUAUCCUAUUAAUAGGAUUGAGGCCGUUGUCCUAUCAAAUCAUUUUGAAUAAUCGACACUUUAAAUUAAUAAUCGGUACCAUUGAAAUUGAUCUACACUAUAAAAAAUAUUUAAAAAUCAAAUUUUGUAAUUUUUAAAAAUUAUUAUCAAGUCUAUCGAAGAGUCGAAAAAUGAAUGGUCAAAAACAAAUGACCUUCUGAAAACAGAUGUUAGACUUUCUCAAUUUAAGAUCAAAGUUAUUAAACAUUAUCUAAAUAGUAUAAAAAAUUUUCUAUCAAAAAUUCAACCUAUUUGAAUUACUCUACACCGUUAAACAUGCAAACGGCUCAUAUAGGCCGUCAAAAAAUUGUCAAUUUUGUUAUCCUUUGAUCACUUUGAAAAUAAAUUUUAAAAUUUAUAAAAUUUAGUUCUUAGAUAUUUCAAAUAUUCUAGAUCAACUUCAACGGUUCCGAUCAUUGAUUCGAGAUCUCUAUCAUCAAAAACUAUUUGAUAGGACGAAGGUUCCUAUCCUAUUAAUAGGAUAGCAGCUAGAUUAUAUAUAUAUAUGAUUAUAUAUAUAUAUAUAUAUAUAUAUAUAUAUAUAGAGAGAGAGAGAGAGAGAGAGAGAGAGAGAGAGAGAGUAGGGCUACUGUGCUCUAAGGAGCACGGAAGCCUCCAUGCUUCUGAGCCGUUUUCGAUGAUAGAAUUUGCGAAUGGACGAUCGGCUCCGUUAGACUUGAUCUAACGUAUUUGAAGUUUCUAGAAAAUAAUUUUUGUAAUUUUUUGAUACCAUUUACCUAGCAAUCGAAAGGAUUCAAAAUCAAUAAUUUUUAACGGUUGAAAAUAAAAAUUCUAUAAAAUGUGUGAUAUAGCACUAAAAUUUUCAAUCAGAAAUAUUGAUCUUAUUGUAGAUAGUAUCAAGAAUUUUGUAUCAAAAUUUCAUCUGAUUUGAAUACUUCUACACCGUUAAACUUGAAAACGGUAGAUAUCAACCAUUAAAAAUUAUUGAUUUUGAAUCCUUUCGAUCUAAUGAUAUCAAAAAAUUGCAAAAAUUAUUUUCUAGAAACUUCAAAUACGCUAGAACAAGUCUAACGGAGCCGAUCGUCGAUUCGAAAAUUCCAUCAUCGAAAAUGGCUCAGGAGCAUGGAGGCCUCCGUGCUCCUGAGAGCACCGCAGCCCUACUCUAUAUAUAUAUAUAUAUAUAUAUAUAUAUAUAUUCAAAUAUCUUACAUGCACGUAUAUUUUGCUAGUAAUUUAUAGAAUUUGGAGUUAUAUAUUGGCAUAAUAUUGAAGCAGAUUCGCAAGCCAGAAAUCUCCUGAAACCACAAAUCAGCAAAUUUGGAUUUUAUUUGUUCGAGUAUUCUCUCUCUUUAUGUCUUUUCUGAUGAUCUAACUGAUUCCGAAUCCGAUUCGGUCCCCUGUUCUGAAGUCGUAGUUGUCUCUUUAAACCUGUUCAUACAUAAGAGACAAGCCUUUUCUUAUGUAAAAAUUUCACAAAUACCAAUCGAAUCUAAUCCGUGUGUCGCGCGACAGGACUAAUUUACAAAAAAGAGAGAACAUUCUUGAGAAGACAAAGUGCUUGAGAGGCAAAACCUUCAGGUACCAUUUGGAUCGAAUACAAAAGGAAGAUAAGAUCUUUAUCCCCAUUUUGUACCCAAACACAAAGUUGGGUGGGUGGGAACUACUUGUUCAUAUUCCCACCCAUACUUGGUUAUUUUGGGAUAACCCGGUAUGGGCCUUCCCACGGGUAGGCUUGGCCGAUUGGGAACAAAUAGGGUGAAUUUAGAACUACAGCAAAACAGUUGGUCGAUUUAGAACUACAAUUGGUCGGUCGGAGUAUGUGUUUGGUACGGAUGUUUCACAUACUGUUGUUGUCUUUACGAAAGGGUGCAAUGGUUUAUAUAGCUUGGAAUAACAUCCCCGAUAGAGAGAGAUUUUUGUUUUAAAUUAGAAUUUAAAUUUUUAAAAUUUAAAAUUUGUAAUUUCAAAAUUGGAAUUUAUAACUUAAAUUCUAAAUUUUAAAGUUUAAAUUUUAAAUUUGAUAUUUUAAAAUUUAAAAUUUUAAACAUGAUAUUUUAUAUCUUUCAAAUUUAAAUUUAGUUUUAAAUUUAAAAUUUCAAAUUUAAAAUUAAAAUUUUAAAUUUUAAUUUCAAAUUUAAAAAUUUAAAAGUUAAAAAUUUAAAUUUAAAAUUUAAAAAUUUAAAUUCAAAUAUAAUGAGAGAAGUAACACCAUUAUCUUCUAUUUANAGCCGACCAGUCAUUAUGUAUUUCAUUUAUUCGGCUCUUUCAGCUGACCAGUUACUAUGUACUUCUUCCAUUCGGCUCUUCUGCUGACGUUGAUCCCUGCACAGUUCGUACAUUCGGCUCAUCCAGCCGAACCGAGUCCAUAGAAAGGGUUUUCGAACUCGGCUGAUCCGAUCCCUCAUCAGCCGAAUCGCUUGAUCCAGUCGAAGGGCGCAAACUUCGAGGGUCGCUAUCCGCAGCCGUUCCUCACCCCGACGCGUUCCCCGAGGAGUAUCUUUGACCGGGACAAGGGUCGGAAAAUUUGCUAUCAAUAAUUUCUAAAUGAAAUAAACGAAGCGGGUAGCGUACUACCUAUCUCUCAAAAAUAUAUAUAUGUAUAUAGUUUUCAUGUACGAAAACUGUAAAUGAGCACUCCGCGGUCCAAUGUAGGCUGGGCCACCAGAGAAUGGUAGAGCGGUCCAAUGUAGGCUGGGCCACUAGAGAAUGGUAGAGCAGUGUGACAGGAGAGGCGGAAAACCUACGAGUACGGGUACGAAUAGUAAUUGUCAGGUCAGGAACAAGUUGACAAUUGCAUUAAACCAUUUGAACCAUUAGUUCAACUAUCAAAUCACUGAUCGAUGCGAUUUUAAUUAAAACAGCCAGAUAUUUGAUUAUGUCGUAACAAAAUUCAAUAAUUUGAAAUCAACUUCGCGUUUAUCAAUAAUAUUUAUCAAUAAGCUAAUAUUUAUAAUUGAAUAUGCCACUAGAAUAAUAAUAUUUUUUUCUACAUAAUAAAUUUAAAUGUAAUAAUUUAAAUAUUUAUGAUGUUAUACUGAUAUCACUAGUUCAACUAGUGAUUGACUCCCGGUUGAAUCCGUGAUCCUUGAUCCAGUAAUAUAUUUGUAUCGCUAUUCGAUCCGAUUUUCAAAACAUCAUUAUAAACAAGCAUAUGUGACUCUAUACAGUUAAAUUAGAUCCCACAAGACAUAGGCAUAAUUUACAAAAUCGAAAAAGAAAAUCUAUUUAUUUACUAAUUUACACAAUCUUUAAAAUGAUGUAGAAGUUGUUAUUUAGCAUAUCAUUUUUUAUCCUAAAUAUUAGAAAUUAGACAUCAAAUUUUAAGAAAUGGUUGGGCGUAAUCCAUGUUUUUUGAAUCAAAUUGACUCGUUCGAAAUUACUCGAUUUUCGCAAAUUGUGGAUUGAAAAAAAAAAUCGAAUAAAUCGAACUAACCAAAUUUAUAAUAAUUUGAAAUAUGUUUCAACUAUUAAGCGAUUAUCAUACACUCGGGGUACCCGAGAUCUUAAGUUUAAACCCUAAUUGAUUCACAUUUCUAACUAAAUUUAUGUUUCUAAAAGAAAUAAACGAAACGUGUAGCAUGCGAUCUUUCUAUAAAAGACAGUCUGACUCAUCGAGCCAGGCUCAGAUCGUCAUUUGUUCGGUACCGAGCCUAACCCUAGGUUUUGGUACUUUACCCUAUUUGUGCCCUUUUUUAACUUGUCGAGUUUUAAAGGGUUAAGUACGAAAAAGGAUCGAAUCAUUCAAAGAAUUUGAAUUUGAUAUAGAAGCAUCAUAAUUUUUUGAGUUUGGUUCUUGCUUGAUUUUUCCUAUCAAUUGUAAAAGAAAAGAAAAAAGUUUCAAUCCUAAUUAAUUUCUAUUGAUUGUAUCUAGGGGUGGCAAUCCAGCUAACUGUUUACGAGCCAGCUCGUGGUCGGAUCGAAAUGAGCUCGAGAACGAAUCACUCGUUUAGUAAACAAGUCAAAUACGAGCUAAAUUUUUCAGCUCGUUUAAUAAUUGAACCGAACACGAGCUGGGGUCGGCUCGUUUGUGUUCAGCUCGAUAUUUUAAUAAGCCAGCUCGAGUUCGGCUCGUUUAAUGAGCCAAACACAAGCCGGACCCAGCUCGCUUGUGUUCAGCCAUUUUUUUUAAAAAAAUCUUUUGGUUAGAGAAAAAUCUAUUAUUUGGUUAAUUGGGCCAUGGGCUUAUUUACCGCACAAAUUCGAUACUAUAUUAUAUAUACAUGUAUAAAAAUAGAUUUGAUUAAUUGGGCCCAUGGGCUUGUUUAAGAUGGCCUAUAUCCAGUUUAGUCCAACUUAUCUUUUAAUUGAAAAAAAUGGGUUUUACUAUUUAUGGGCCAUUUGAUUUCUCCAAAGAGUGUGAAAAAAAAUUUUAAAAAAAGUUUUUUAUGAUUUUUUUUAAAAAAUUUUUAGUUUUUCAUCCAUCCAUUUGGCUCUAAGGAUACAAGUUUUAUGAAAAGUUAUUUGUUUUAUAUUUUAUGAGAAAUUAGUAUUUUUGUUUUUUUUAAAAAAAAUUUAAGAUGAAAAUUUAUAUUUCAAUUUAAGUUUAAGACGCACGGCGUUUCAGGAGAUCAAAUAUUUAGAUUUAUCAAAGAGUCUUCUUAGUAAAUUUAGUAAGUACAUAAUAUUUGGUAGAAAAGUAUCAUAAUAAAUCUAAAAAAGCAUAUUUUGUAAUAAAAAUUGUGCAAAACUAUUUGAACGAUAGAUCAUUUUGAAUCGACUACCUAAUCUUUAAAAAGUUUAAUUUUACUAUCCAAUCUUUCAAUUUUUUUGUUUUGAGUUAGUCAAAGAUAUUUUAACUUCAAAAUUUAAGCUAAUUAUUUAUUUUAAUGAAUUAUAGUUGUGAGAAUUACAUGAAAUAUAAAAUUAAACUUAUAAAAAUAAACGAUAUAUUCAAAUUUUGAAUUCAAAGUGUCUUUCUAACUCAAAUCAAAAAAUUUGAAAGGUUGAAUAGUAAAAUCAAAAUUUUGAAAGAUCGGAUAAUUAAAUCAAAAUAAUCUAUACCUUUGAUAAAUUCUAUAUAAUUUUACCAUUAUUUUUGAACAUAUCACGAGUAAAAUAUAAUACCUGAAACAAUCGCGGCUACCAAAACUUCGCAAGUAGCUAAAAAUCAAACUCCUAUCUCACAAUCAAGGAAAAAAUAUGUCUCACAACGCAUAAAUUAUUAAUGAAUAAUUUUCCCUCAUUUUACUAUUUUGCAGGAAAUAAAACUAAAGCCCCUACUUAUCAAAUGUCACUUUUGAAUUUUUUUUUUUUAUUAUUAUUUUUUUUGCAACCUAAUUUUAUUGGACAUAAAACUAUUCGAAUAUUUCAUUAUUGCUUAGAGUUAAGUUUAUUCCAAUGAGCAUUACAAAGAAAAUCCACAAAUUUGAGCUCUUUUUAUUUGUUAUUUGUUGUCGAAAACAUUUUCUUGCUUUAGUUUUCAUAUUUGAAAAGAGCAACACUUGAAUAAUUACCCUUUUGUUUCUCAAAAUUAAAAAAAACCCUCAGAAAAAUGCUCAAAUUAGUCAAAAUUACUGAAUGUCCGUAGCACAGGUGACAAAAAACUCAAUGGUUGAUAUUAAAAAAUUCAAGCUCACAAUUUUAGUUAAGUUUUUUUUAAAAAAAAACGCAGUGGAUACAUAUUAUCUUUCUUUAAAAAAAAAAAAAUCUUAAUAUUGGGGUUGCAGAGAAUUUGCUCCUCUCGUGAAAUGCAUGUUGCAUAAAAUUUCAAAAUUAACAAAUCAUAGAGAUCAUAUUAUAAAUUACAUCUCAACUAACUCUACCACCAAAAUGGCCCCCAAAUUCCACUCUUAGGGAAUUAAUUAAUACUAAUCUAUCACUAACACAUCUUUUUUUAAAUUACACUAACAAGUGACAACCACAUUUGGUUGGUUUCAUUAUCUUAUUAAACAAUUAAGCUAUAAGUAUAAUAAACCAAUUAAUUAAUUAAUUAAUUAAGCAACAAGAGAUUAAUUAACUCUAAUUAAUUGUACUUGACGAAUGAAGCACAUGCAUGGGACCUCAUGGGACCUCAAUCAUUUGGAGCCAGGAUGGAUAGUGGAGUUUUGUGAAUAAACUUAUUCAGAAAAUGGGAAUAAGUAUAAAUUAUUCAAUAGGAUAAGGCUCAGUGGAAUAAUUAAAAAGGAAUAAUACAACUAAGUUUUGGUGGCUCCAACAACACUAAUAAGUCACUUUCUUUUUUUUUCUAUAUAUAUAAAUAUAGAGUCCGCCUACUAUCCUAUUAAUAGGAUUGGGACCAUUGUCCUAUCAAGUCGUUUUGAAUAAUCGACACUCUAAAUUGAUAAUCAGCACUGAUAAAUUGAUCUACACUAUAAGAAAUAUUUAAAAACUGAAUUUUGUAAUUUUUAAAAAUCAUUAUCAAAUCUAUUGAAGAGUCGAAAAAAUGAAUGGUAAUAAAUGAAUAACCUUUUUAAAAUAGAGGUUAGAUUUUCUCAAAUCAUGAUCAGAGUUAUCAAAUAUUAUCUAAAUAGUAUAAAAAAUUUUCUAUCAAAAAUUCAAGCAGUUUGGACUGCUCUACACCGUUAAACAAACAAACAGCUCAUAUAGGCCGUCAAAAAUUGUCAAUUUUACGAUCCUUUGAUCAUCAUGUAAAUGAUUUUUAAAAUUUCUGAAAUUUAGUUUCUAGAUAUUUCAAAUACUCCAGAUCAACUUCAAACAUUUCGAUCAUCGAUUCGACAUCUCUAUCAUCAAGAACGACUUGAUAGAACGAUGGUCUCUAUCCUAUUAAUAGAGUAGCAGUUGAAUUUUAUAUAUAUAUAUAUAUAUAUAUAUAUAUAUAUAUAUAUAUAUAUAUAUAUAUAUAUAUAUAUAUAUAUAUAUUAUGGGAAAAUAAAGUUGGUCUUUAAUGAAAGUGACAUUUAUGGGAUGCACUGUUUCAGGCUCUUCUUCUCCAUUUAUUCCAUGAUGGUACUAAAUAUUUAUAAUUGGGGGAAAUUGUUAUCCCAAAACAUUAAUAUUUGAGUGAGACUUGAUUGAUUGGCUUGAGAAUAUGUAUUAAAUAGUAGGAUAUGUUCAUGUAAUGUUGAUAUUUAGACAGUAUUAAUGGGAUGAGGGGUAGUUGGGGCUUUACUAUAUAGCUAGUAGUGUUGUGGGAAUUGAGAAAAUUUGACUUACAAGUAUGUAAAAAUAAUUGAUUACUUUAAGUAACUCUUUUAUUGCAUGUAAUUACGACUGUACUGUAGUUAAAACUGCAUGUAGAUUUAAAUUUGUAGUUAAAUUCAAUUGAACAGUUGUAACUGCAUAAGAGGCUUAACGGUUGUAGUUGAAACUUUUGUUAGUUAAUUCGCAAAUUAUUGAAAAUCCGAAUUAAACGGUCCGUUUAUGAAUUUUUUUCAAAAAAAAAUAAAUUAUUCGUGAAUUUUUGGGCUAGCCGAAUAAUUCGCGAAUUAUUCGUGAAUUAUUCGCGAAUUAUUCGCGAAUUAUUGAAAAUCUGAAUAAAAAACUUAUAAUUUUUAUAUUUAAAUAUAGAUUAUCUUAUAUUUUAUAUCUUAUAUUUUGUAUUUUAUGCCGAAUUUAUUUUUUAAGCCGAAUUUUUCAACGAAUUUAAAAAUUAGAAAACGAAUUUUAUGCGAGAACUUUUGCCGAAUCCGAAUUAACUAACUAUGUUUGAAACUAGGUCCAAAAUAUUGCAGCAGUUUGUGAGACUAAUUUUAAACAACAGAUAAGUUUACUAUUCUAAUCUCCUUUUAAAUAGAAAAUAUUUUUGAGAGUUAACUUCAUAAUUUCCUAUAUAAAGUUGAUAAAAUUUUCUAAAUGUAUUUUUACAAUAAUUUCUAGCAUUUGGUUACAAAUGUUAUAUUUCUAACUGUAUAUAUUUUCAACUAUAUUUUAUUUGGUCUUUAAAUUUUAAAAGUACAUUUUUUUUCUUGCGUCUCAGCUCAAGACAAUGCUUUGAAUUUAAUCAAAAAAAAUUAAACUAAGAUCAACUUAAGCUACCAUUAAACGAUGUUUUAAUGUUUAAUUUUCUAAUUUCUUUGUAGGAUAUUGCUCUGCUAGGCAUAUUAAUUUUUAACUUAACUCUAACAUAAAUAUAAAUAUAAACCCUAAUAAGUAAUUCUAAAAGGUAAGAAAUUAACAAAGGUGUGGUAGUUAACCUAAAAUAUAUGUAAAAAGGGCAUAAUAAAUUAGAUUGUUAGUGCAAUAAUCUUAUUAUGACUUAAACUUCCUGAAUUAUUACGAUCAAAUUUAACAAUUUAAUUUAAUCAACUAAACGUUAAUAUGUUGCUAAUGUCGAAGUGAAGUAUCAGUGAUAUGAUUGAUGAUACGACAAUAAUUAAGAUGUCAUGCAUGUCAUGUCAUAUUUGUGUAGCGACAUACCAAUAAUUAGUUAACAAAAUUAAAUUUUAAAGCUUGCUUAUGGUAAUUUAUAAAGUUCGAGCUAGUGAGAAAUUAUAAUAAUUUAAUGUUUAAAAACUAAAGCAUAACCCACCUCAUAAUUUGAGGACUAAAAGUGUAUAUUUAACCUUUAUGUUUUAAUUUUUUAGAGAGAGAUAUAUUUUUUAAGGGACAAUUACCUAUAUACCCUUCAAAAAUUUUAAAAUAUCUUAUAUACUGCUACUUUUUUGUUUCAAAUAUACCUCUCGUACAUAUUUCUUCGUUAUUAAAAAAUAACUCUACUAUUAGUAUCCGUUAAGUUAUUUCAGAUUAAAUUCAGAUUAAAUUUCUACCAGAGUUACGAACAAAAAAGUUAAAAUACCUCUUUUCUCCGUAACUUAAGUGUAAAUAAAAAAAAAGUUAGGAAGAUGUAUAUUUAAAAUGGCAAAAUAGUAAUUUUACAGAGAUAACGACUAGCACUAAUAAGUUACUAGCAGAAUCUAACUCUAAAUAUAUAUAUUUGAAAAAAUUUGAAACGUUAGAAAGUGUAUUUUUUUAAUAUUAAUUUUUUAAGUUGGAUAAAUGAGAAAGUUUAAAAUUUUUCAGAGAAAUAUAUACGCAAUUGUCCCUAUUUUUUAAAUAUAGAACAAGAUAAGCUCCAUCAUUUUCACUCAUGCACAUAUACAGGAUGUAUGAAGUAAUGUGUUCCUCAUUUUCCACAUCAUUGAUAGAGACAUAUAUUUAUAAGCUUCUGGGCUAAUCCGGAGGAAUCUUCAAAAGUGAAUAAACACAAAAACAGUAGGGAAAAGUCAUGGUUUGUUUACUUAAUUUCUAGCAAAGGAAUUAAAAGGAUAUGAUCAUGUAGUCUCUACAACAUUCCAGUGCUUCCCAAAAUUUUUAAUUUUUUUUCAAAAAAAAUUAAAAAGAUAACAAUUUAUGUUCUCUUGUGUGUUUAUAUGUGUAUCAGAAAUUGUAAAAGGUUGUGGCCACUGUGGAAAAAAUUGACCUCAAAAAUGACAUCUGAUUCUUUUGUGCUAAAUGUUAAAAGUUCAAACCAAUCAUAUGGUUUUGUAUUUUCUGAUGUUAUUAAAGACAAAAUGAGUUACAAAAAAAAAAAAAAAAAAAAAAAAAAAAAAAAAAAAAAAAAAAAAAAAAACUUUACUAAUUUUCUAUAUGGCUACAUAAAUGAUUUCUUAAUUGAUUUCGUGCGAUUUACAUAAUAUAUUUUGUCAGUAAGUUUAAACAGAGAUUACUGGUUCUAAAUUCGAGCUCAGGACUUGAUAAGGCUUAUGUAAACAAACUUAAAAUGCGUGUGUAAACUGAUUAAAAAAUUCUUAAAUAACAAGUGCUCACAUAUCAAUAAAUACUAUUACUUUACUAUUUGGAGCAUUGCUCAAAUAUCUGAUUACUAUAUUGAUAAAUUCAAAUGAUAUUUUAGAAUGUGUGCAUAAAAUAUGCUUUGGAAUUCUCAUAAUAUUAUCUUUAUAUAUUAGUUUAAUCGUCAUAUGAACACGCUCUAAAAUGCCAAAUAAUUUAUUAAUAUAUUAAUAAUAUAGUCCAGCUAGAAUACUAUCAAUGGUAUCUGAAUUGUAUUUGCUAUUAAUUUUUUCAAUACUUGAAUAUCUAGGAUUCACUCUUUGGUGUUAGUGUUAUUAUGAAUGCAAAGGCUAAAAAAUUGAUAGUGCAUAUUAUUAAUUCAUGUGUUAUUAAUAGUUUUAAUUAUGGGUUCGCUCUUAAUAAUUUAUUUCUUACAACUAUUCAAAAUUUUCAAAUUAUCCUAAAUUAUCAAAAUAUUCCUUUAAAAUCCAAUUCUUAGUGAACUCUAGAAAAAUAGGGUUAUUUGAAGAAAUUUUUUAAAAUCAACCAGAAUAUUUGUGUGAUACCUCGCUUUCUUGGAGAUCACCCAUUCUAAAAUCACUUUAAUCCUAACACGCUUAACCCUCUUAAUUUUUUGGGAUUAAUUAUCACCGAAAAUGCUAUAGUAGGGUUAUGCGUGAUAGGGCUAUAGUAGUUUUAAGAUGGGCGACCCUCCGGAUAACGGAAUGUCACGGUUCAUAUCAGACCCAAUUACCAACUGAAAGUGUAAAAUGAGUUUCGGCUGAAUUAAGAUUAUACAGCGGGUAGAUCGCGACUUAUUGCCUAACGAUCGUUGUGGGUGAAGCGCGGCUCCCGACAAGAUCUGCUAAGGCUGAUGAAACGAGUCGCACAUCGCCUAAUUCUUGUGAGUGUGCUUAAGUAUGAUGAGAACGUCAGGACUUGAAUAGUGAAAGAACGUAACACUCUCAAGAUUUAAAUUAAUCCUAUAUAUAAUGUAUAAAAGAACUAAAACUCUUAAUGUGACCAUAAUAUUUUCGACGGUGGUUAUACUAAAAAAAUUAGUAAAGUGUAGUGAGAUAGAAUAAUUCUAAUUAAAAUGGGCCACCCUCUAGAAAGCAGGACGUCACAAUUUUAAUGCUCCAAAUAUAAAUAAGAUAUCUUUUAAAAUUUUAAAAAAUAUCUAAGAUAUUACCUCAAAAUUUAAGAAUAAUUGUGAAAGGUAUAGCAAUGUACUAUAUAUUUCAGCGAAUUAUAGCGAAACAUACAAUUUUGUCGUAAAUUUUGCCGUCGCAUAAAGGACCGUUGCUUAAGAGGAUGUGUCCUGAGACAUCUUAGCCGUUGCCAUGUGACGCUACAACAAUACAAAUAUUGUACCUGCUGGUCCCCCCCUCCCGUUCCGUUUUAAAUCACGACGGUUCUAGAACCACGGACUAGGGAGGGGGGACGCUCCAGUGAUUUUCAGAUUGAAAAUGACUUUCAGUUAAACUAAAAGUUAGAUAAAAAUAUAUUUUACCGUUAUUUAUUUGAUUCAAAAAUUUAUUUAUUUUGAAAUUAUAAUUAUUUUACUAGCACAUAUAUAAGAAAUAAUUGCAAUUUUUUAAAUUUUUUUUAUCACUUUCUUUAUUUUUUGUAACUAAUCUUGGAACCAUUUAAGGGUAUAGGCAAUUGCAGUAUUUAAAAAAAUUGGAAUUAUGAACGAAUUAAUUUUCACACAGGUAUAUUAAAAGCGAGAAAAGAAAAAUUAUAACUGCUAAUUUUUUAUUAAUUUUUAUUUAUUUUUUGUAAUUUACUUCAAAACUAGUCAAGAGUUAGACGUCAUGAACAUUAACAUAAGGCACGCAACAUGACACAACACUGACUCGUACACAACAACUCGCCAGCUUCCAAAAGAUUAAGACACGGAAAUAAAAAACCGCUUAUAUAAAAUAUAAUUUAUAUUAUAUAUUUGUUAUAUAUAAGUUUGUUAAAAUAUUGUCAUAUUUCUCGUACGAAUAAAAAUUCGUAAAAUUUUUAUUGAAAAUUCAUGUGUUAUAUAUAAGAGAAGAAAUUUCUGACUAUCUUCAAAAAUCUUAUAUGCAAUAUCAUCUCACAUAAUCUAUGUAUAAAAAAAUUAUAUAUAUAUAUAUAGAGAGAGAGAGAGAGAGAGAGAGAGAGUCGGGAUAGAGUACUAUUGAUAGCAAAAUAUUUAUAUUGCUAUCAAAUUUUUAGUCUUUAGAUCAAUUUCUUUCAUCAUUUCUAAACAUUGAAUUAAAUAUUAUAAACCUAAAGGACUAAUGUCAUUCUAAUCUUAUAAUUUUCCAUCUAAGAGUUAAAAAUUUGAUAUUAAAACGAACCUUUUGCUAUCAAUAGUAUUCCAGUCUAGCUCUUUAUAUAUAUUCUUUCAAUUGUAUAAGCUAUAGAUUCACAUUGAACGCACGGACGCGCAUCUCGGGCUCGAGCUCGACGCAGACGCACGAAACUAAUAGUAAUUGAUAUUCGUGAUACAUAGGUUACGAGUGAAGUAAAUUAAUUAGGGAAAAACUUCAAAAAUCAUUUCCUGUCGUUUUACACUUUUUCAUUUUAGUACUCUAUGGUUUAAAGUGUAUCAAGUUAGUAUCCUGUGGUUUCUCACUUUAUCACUUUAGUACUCUGCGGUUUAAAGUAUAUCAAGUUAGUACCUUGUGGUUUUGUACUUUAUCACUUUAGUAUCCUAUGGUUUCACACUUUAUCAUUUUAGUACCCUAUAGUUUAAAAAACCACAGAGUACUAACUAGAUACAAAAUUAAAACCACAAGGUACUAAAGUGAUAAAGUGCAAAACCACAGGGUACUAACUUGAUACACUUUAAACCACAUGAUAGUAAAGUGAUAAAGUGAGAAACCAUAGGGUACUAAUUUGAUACAUUUUAAAUCAUAGGGUACUAACGUGAAAAAAUUUGAAACCACAGGGAGAUUUUUUUGAAAUUUUCGCAAUUAAUUACGGUGCUUUCGGAAAGUUAGAUUAUGAUCGAAUUCAAUUUACGACGAACUAAACAAAGAAAAAGUAAAUAUUUACCUUCGACCUCUGUCUCACAGUCUCUCUCUCUCUCUCUCUCUCUGCAUUUGCGACACUUGCCCGCCUUCUCUGACACAACAGCGACGCCGUCUCCGAGGUGUUUUGCCUUCGGCGUUUUGCGCCGAAAACGAGCGGCGACACUUCGACAGUCGCCAGCGCGGGACAGCUGGCCGGCGACGUGGCGGACACCGCCACCAAACAGCUCGUCCUGCCAAUCAGUAACCGCCACGUGGCGAGUCGAUAGCCAUACUUUUUUUUUAUUAAUUGCAUGUAGCUCGCUGUAAAUAUAUUAAGGCUUUGUUUGAGAUUGCGGAAAGAUUGCGUUACGUGCGAUGAGAAACAACGAUGGGAAAAUACUCUGUUUAUUUCCGUACGUAAUAUUAGCGAUGAGUCCCACCAGAGAACGCAGAAGCAUAUCCCUAUAUACUUUUUCCUCAACUCCAUUUUAUCUAAUAACGUUAGAUAGAUCUUAGUACCAAACUAAGCCUAAAUAGUAAAUAUAUCGCUACAAAAUUUAAUUUUUUAUUUUUAUUUUUGUAAAAAUUUAAUAAUAUUCAUAUUGUUCUUCUGAUUUGUUACCAUUCGAGUAAUAUUACUUUUUAACAAAAGAUAAAUAAAAUAAUAUUUUUAUUCUUACAAAUAUAUCUACCUAAAAGUCACAACAGUUAGAAUUAUAGAAAUAUCCACUCAAAAUAGUAUUUUAACCAAUAAUAUAAAAUAGGUAAAAAGAUCAAUUUAACUUAUUAACUAAACAGGGUUAACUAUAUUUUUCUAAUGUAUCAUAAUAGCAAAAGUAUAUUUGAAAAUGUUAUGAUUUUCGUAGGGAUAAAAAUAAAAAGUUAAACUUUGUAGGAAUAUAUCUGUUAUUUGAUAUUUUUACAUGAAGCUGUAUGCAAUUAAUUUUUUUUUAAUAAUACAACACCUACGUUAACUAUUUUACUAUCUAAAAUUUUAAUUUAUUUGAUUUAAAUGAAAUAGCAAUAUUUUAAUUUAAAAUUUUAAAAUAUUUAUUUAAUUCAAUAAAUUUUGCCAUAAAAAAUAUAUCCUUCCAAAAAUUAUAAUAAUAUAAUAUAAGAGGAAUAAAAAGGUGAAAAAUUAACCGGGGUAAAAUAUUUAACCUAUUGUUAAUUAAAUUUUUCUGAUGGAUUUUAACGAUAGGAAUAUAUCUGAAAAUAUUAGAAUUUUUACAGAAAUAACUUAUAAAAGUUAAACUUUACAGAAAUAUAUUUAUAAUUUACUAUAUUUAUAGGGACCUAUAGUAGAUUAUUCUUAUUUUCACCUUCCAUUCUAUAAACUUUGUAAAUAUUUUUUGUAAUAAAUUUUACUCUGCUGGAUACGUCCAAAUUUCUGUUCGGUCGUUGGACACAGUACGUUAGAAAACGGGCUUUUUUUGCAAAUAGCCCCAUAAAAAAUUUUAUUUCCGAAAAUAGCCCUGUGUAAAAAUUAUUUGCAAAAAUGGCCCUGCCCCCGCCCCGUCAGCGCCACGUCAGCGCCACGCGGGCGGGGCUGGGCCAAUUGUAUAAGUUGAACACGGUGAACCAUUCACCGUGUUCAAUACAAGAUUUUUGUAUUGGACACGGUGAAUGGUUCACCGUGUCCAAUACAAAUACAUUCGACUUAGCCAAAAAUGGCUAAGUUGUGGGUGUUUGUAUUGGACACGGUGAACCAUUCACCGUAUCCAAUUAUUUGUAUUGGACACGGUGAAUGAUUCACCGUGUCCAAUACAAAUAUAUCCCACUUAGCCAUUUUGUAUUGGACACGGUGAACCAUUCACCGUGUCCAAUACAAAAAUUUUGUAUUGAACACGGUGAAUGGUUCACCGUGUUCAAUUUAAACACUUGGCCCAGCCCCGCCCGCGUAGGCGACUGACGGUGGCGCGCUGGACGGGGCGGGCAGGCCUUUUUGCAAAUAAUUUCUACACAGGGCCACAUUUUUAAAAAAAAAAAAUUUGUAAGGGGCUAUUUGCAAAAAGAAUCCCUUAGAAAAACAUUAAUUUUAAUACGGAAAACAAACAGGGUGUUAUCACCGUUCGAUUGUUUGGACGGUUGAUUCCCCCUUGGUGCAACUCAACAUGCUUUGGUAAUAGUAUAUAUGUGUUUUACUAGAUCUGUUUACCACAAUAUAUAAUAUAAAAAUAAAAAAAAUAAAAUUUGUAGUGGGUGAAUUUUAUAUAAGGUAAAAUUUUCAGAGAUUCUACGCUAUGGUUAAAUAAAUGUUGUAUCUCAUGUGUUAAUAGGAUCAGUGUUCAUUAUUUUUUUAUUAUCAAUUUUACUAAUUUUUUUCGUUAAAUCAAUGACAAAGUUAAAAUUAAAAGAUACUAAAGUGAAUAUUCGAUAAGUAUAGUAUCUAAAAUUUUUUGUAUAUAAUUUAAUAAAAUAUUAAUGGAGAAGCUAACGAAAAGAUAAAAAUAAAAUUACAGAAUACUAAUUUGAUACACUUUAAAUCACAGGAUACGAAAGUGAGAAACUACGAAACCACAUGGAUGGUAUGUGAAGUUAACCCAACAUAUAAUAAUUAAAGAGACCCUGACACGCACCCACAUGUUGCUACCCACAAACCCUACCUCUCUCUGAUCAAAUUUUUGGUUCCAAAUUUGACACGUGGACUCAGCCACGUGGAAUUUUAAAAUUAAAUUUAAUGAAACAAAUUAAAAAUUUACGAUAAAUAUUUUAGUGUACUUGUCUGAACUAUCGACCAUUUUAAAUCAAAUAUUCGAAAUUUUAAAAAUUUGGUUUUUACUUGAUUUGAGUCUGCCACGGCACUCCAACUUUAACUAUUCAAUUAAUUAUUUAUUUUAAUAAAUUUAUAAUAUAGCUAAUUCAAAUCAAGCAAACUAAAAGAUUGAAUAGUAAAAUCAAAAUUUUUGAAAGAUUUGAUGGUCAAAUCAAAAUCAUCGAUAAUUCAGGUGAAUUCUAUACAUUUUCUUUAUCAAAAUUUUUAUUAGACUUACCAUUAAUGGAGCCGAAAGUUGGAUGUACACAUGCAUGUGUAAAUAUAAAUGUAAAUCAUAAAUUCUGCCUUCUCAGCAUUUUUUUUUUUUUGAAAUAAGAUAAAUCAUCUGAGAGCUAAGACAUGAUAUCUUAUCAAAUUAUUGUUUCUUUUAAGAGCAAAAUUCAAACUCCGAUCUUUUAAUUUCAUAAAAAAAAUGUUACUCUGAAUAAGUUAUCUAAUAUUCAAGUGAAACCAUAUAAAUAGUAAUCCGUAAUGCAUGCCACACUGUUUUAUUAAGCUAUAAUUUUUACGAUUUCACCAGAAUACAAUAAAGCAUAAUUUUACACACUUUCAGCUCAGCACAUAUUAGUUUAAAAGCUAUAAUUAGGCAGAUAGUUCUAAACCAUAAAGAAUUCAAUUUGAACUGGAACUGAUUUAACCCAAGUAGAACCAUAGAAGAUUCGAGUAGAGUCGAAUUGAUCUACAAGACGGUUCAAUCCAAAUUGAAUUACAGAAGGUUCAAUCUAAACCGAACCACGAAGGAUUCAGCUUGAACAAAAAUGGAUUUAAUUUAAACUGAAUUACAGAAAAUUCAAGCUGCAAACCAGUUCCAUGUAAAUAAAACUACAUGAGGUGUGAGCCAAACCAAAUCAAACUACAAACCGAUUUGACUCAAACAAAAGCAUUAAAAUGCAAACGGUCGAAAACCAUGUGAGUGACUUACAUGAGUUAUGAGGAAUGUGAAUUGUGUAACGGCUAAUACGAAUACACACAGCACGGAUGCAAAAACGAAAAAUUGGUUGGCUUUGAUUUGACGUGUUCUGUUUUUUUUUUUUUUUUUUUUUUUUUUUUUUUUUUUUUUUUUUUUUUGAAAAAAAGGGGACGAAAUGUGA
Molecule: long non-coding RNA, 24143 nt
Filed under: Ananas comosus (pineapple)
Lineage: Eukaryota; Viridiplantae; Streptophyta; Magnoliopsida; Poales; Bromeliaceae
Description: long non-coding RNA (ACOM_LNC004896)
Source: RNAcentral